AUUGAACGCUGGCGGCAGGCCUUACACAGGCAAGUCGAGCGGUUGUAGGGCGCUUGCUCCUGGAUGCAGCGGCGGACGGGUGAGUAAGGCCUAGGAAUCGGCCUGGUAGUGGGGGAUAACGUCCGGAAGCGGGCGCUGAUACCGCAUACGUCCUGAGGGAGAAAGUGGGGGAUCUUCGGACCUCACGCUAUCAGAUGAGCCUAGGUCGGAUUAGCUAGUUGGUGGGGUAAAGGCCUACCAAGGCGACGAUCCGUAACUGGUCUGAGAGGAUGAUCAGUCACACUGGAACUGAGACACGGUCCAGACUCCUACGGGAGGCAUCAGUGGGGAAUAUUGGACAAUGGGCGAAAGCCUGAUCCAGCCACGCCGCGUGUGUGACGACGGUCUUCGGAUUGUAAAGCACCUUAACCUGGGAGGAACGGCAGUAAGAUAAUACCUUGCUGUAUAGACGUUACGCACAGAGUAAACACCGGCUACUUUCGUG
This 484-nucleotide ribosomal RNA is filed under the name uncultured bacterium. RNAcentral's name for it is "partial 16S ribosomal RNA". It matches the Rfam family "Bacterial small subunit ribosomal RNA", at positions 30 to 507 of the family's 1533-position model. The record is from RNAcentral.